Long non-coding RNA from Harpia harpyja (harpy eagle), 860 nucleotides. RefSeq lists it as uncharacterized. The transcript is spliced from 2 exons. Lineage: Eukaryota; Metazoa; Chordata; Aves; Accipitriformes; Accipitridae. The record is from RefSeq and is a predicted model, not a curated record.
GGUCUGAAAGAAGGAGAAAAGGGCCAUCAUUGGAGGGCUUUCAGUGCCAAAAUGUGGACCAGCCCGGCAAGGUCAGAGGUCCUGGACCGCGGGAGACCAAGGUAAUGAUGAUGUCAUGAGAAACCUCAAGUACACACGGCUAUUGAUAUGCAUGAGUGACCAGCGACCGGCCCAGGCCGGCGGGACCGAGCCCCCGCUCGCCUCCAGCAUCGCCUCCUCCACCGCUCCCGGCCGCCGGGAAAAGCCGCCCGCCGCCUUUACCUUCCUCCUCGCCAGCGCAGACCGCUCUGACAUCCACAGGCAGAGGCAGAAAGCUCUCUCUGAGGACAGAUAAAAAGCGUUCGCAGCGCCGGGGAGCGCCUUUUUGCCUGCGUUUUCUCUUCUGGCAGCCUCCGCUAGCGCAGAGGGAUGCGCGGCACUUUGCUGCCUGGCUCGGAGCGGGGCCUUGCUUUCCGAGGCCGGGGACCGGGUCUGUGCUACGCAGUCUCCAGAUGGCUGUGACGUAAAGAAGAAACAUCCUGCGUGGAUUUCUUAAGAAUAAACAGUCUCUAUUGGCUUUAAAGAGGAAUGCUGAUGAUUCUGUAAUAAUUGCAGUCAGACCCCCGUCCUAAUGCCAGCAUCCCCACCUUCUGCGGGGAAGACACACAGGAGCCCCCCUUAAGAUGCUGUGAGGUACAUAAGAAGGGUGUAGCAUUACAUAAAUCCCCCUUUUCCCACUAAAUCAUGGUAGAAUUCAUGCAGAUGUAAACCACGGCAUGCCAGUACAGCACAGGCCAGCUUUCCCUGCAGAGCAUCCCUUUCCUCCCAGCCAGGUAAGUCACUUGACUAGCUUGCCUUCCAAUAAAGGUGCCUCAUCAUUU